This 335-nucleotide ribosomal RNA is filed under the name Klebsiella pneumoniae. RNAcentral's name for it is "partial 23S ribosomal RNA". It matches the Rfam family "Bacterial large subunit ribosomal RNA", at positions 434 to 771 of the family's 2925-position model. Lineage: Bacteria; Pseudomonadati; Pseudomonadota; Gammaproteobacteria; Enterobacterales; Enterobacteriaceae. The record is from RNAcentral.
CCGUCGGAAUCUGGGAGGACCAUCUCCCAACCCUAAAUACUCCCUAGUGACCGAUAGUGAACCAGUACCGUGAGGGAAAGGUGAAAAGCACCCCGGGAGGGGAGUGAAAUAGAACCUGAAACCGUGUGCCUACAACAAGUUCGAGCCCGUUAAUGGGUGAGAGCGUGCCUUUUGUAGAAUGAACCGGCGAGUUACGUUAUGAUGCGAGGUUAAGUUGAAGAGACGGAGCCGUAGGGAAACCGAGUCUGAAUAGGGCGCCUUAGUAUCAUGACGUAGACCCGAAACCAUGUGACCUACCCAUGAGCAGGUUGAAGGUGCGGUAAGACGCACUGGAG